AACGAACGCUGGCGGCAUGCCUAACACAUGCAAGUCGAACGAGACCUUCGGGUCUAGUGGCGCACGGGUGCGUAACGCGUGGGAACCUGCCCUUAGGUUCGGAAUAACUCCCCGAAAGGGGUGCUAAUACCGGAUAAUGUCUUCGGACCAAAGAUUUAUCGCCUUUGGAUGGGCCCGCGUUGGAUUAGCUAGUUGGUAGGGUAAAAGCCUACCAAGGCGACGAUCCAUAGCUGGUCUGAGAGGAUGAUCAGCCACACUGGGACUGAGACACGGCCCAGACCCCUAGGGGAGGCAGCAGGGGGGAAUAUUGGACAAGGGGCGAAAGCCUGUUCCAGCAAUGCCGGGGGAGGGAGGAAGGCCUUAGGGUUGUAAAGCUCUUUUACCCGGGAUGAUAAUGACAGUACCGGGAAAAUAAGCCCCGGCUAACUCCGU
Molecule: ribosomal RNA, 432 nt
Filed under: uncultured bacterium
Lineage: Bacteria
Description: partial 16S ribosomal RNA
Rfam family: Bacterial small subunit ribosomal RNA
Source: RNAcentral